Molecule: ribosomal RNA, 301 nt
Filed under: uncultured bacterium
Lineage: Bacteria
Description: partial 16S ribosomal RNA
Rfam family: Bacterial small subunit ribosomal RNA
Source: RNAcentral
CAGCCGCCACGGUAAGACAGAGGAUGCAAGCGUUAUCCGGAAUGAUUGGGCGUAAAGCGCGCGCAGGCGGAUAGGUCAGUCUGUCUUAAAAGUUCGGGGCUUAACCCCGUGAUGGGAUGGAAACUGCCAAUCUAGAGUAUCGGAGAGGAAAGUGGAAUUCCUAGUGUAGCGGUGAAAUGCGUAGAUAUUAGGAAGAACACCAGUGGCGAAGGCGACUUUCUGGACGAAAACUGACGCUGAGGCGCGAAAGCCAGGGGAGCGAACGGGAUUAGAUACCCCCGUAGUCCCUGUCUCUUAUACA